GGCAGUGGAACCACUGAGCUAAAUCCCCGGCCCAAUAAAUUCUCUUUUGCAACCCAGAACUCAUUGUUCAGUAUGAGUCUGAUACACAUAAGAAGGAAUAUU
This is a small nucleolar RNA of Heterocephalus glaber (naked mole-rat), 102 nucleotides long. NCBI's taxonomy places the organism in Eukaryota, Metazoa, Chordata, Mammalia, Rodentia, Bathyergidae. The record is from Ensembl.